This 253-nucleotide ribosomal RNA is filed under the name uncultured bacterium. Its description in RNAcentral is "partial 16S ribosomal RNA". It matches the Rfam family "Bacterial small subunit ribosomal RNA", at positions 524 to 776 of the family's 1533-position model. The record is from RNAcentral.
UACGAAGGGUGCAAGCGUUACUCGGAAUUACUGGGCGUAAAGCGUGCGUAGGCGGUUCGUUAAGUCUGUCGUGAAAGCCCCGGGCUCAACCUGGGAAUGGCGAUGGAUACUGGCGAGCUAGAGUGCGGUAGAGGAGAGUGGAAUUCCCGGUGUAGCAGUGAAAUGCGUAGAGAUCGGGAGGAACAUCAGUUGCGAGGGCGGCUCUCUGGACCAGCACUGACACUGAGGCACGAAAGCGUGGGGAGCAAACAGG